This is a long non-coding RNA of Coregonus clupeaformis (lake whitefish), 980 nucleotides long. RefSeq lists it as uncharacterized. The transcript is spliced from 3 exons. NCBI's taxonomy places the organism in Eukaryota, Metazoa, Chordata, Actinopteri, Salmoniformes, Salmonidae. The record is from RefSeq and is a predicted model, not a curated record.
GGACAGGCCUGGUAGAGUAGAGGUGGACAGGCCUGGUAGAGUAGAGGUGGACAGGCCUGGUAGAGGAGAGGUGGACAGGCCUGGUAGAGUAGAGGUGGAGAGGUGGACAGGCCUGGUAGAGUAGAGGUGGACAGGCCUGGUAGAGUAGAGGUGGACAGGUGGACAGGCCUGGUAGAGUAGAGGUGGAGAGGUGGACAGGCCUGGUAGAGUAGAGGUGGAGAGGUGGACAGGCCUGGUAGAGUAGAGGUGGAGAGGCCUGGUAGAGUAGAGGUGGACAGGCCUGGUAGAGGAGAGGUGGACAGGCCUGGUAGAGGUGGAGAGGUGGACAGGCCUGGUAGAGUAGAGGUGGAGAGGCCUGGUAGAGUAGAGGUGGACAGGCCUGGUAGAGGAGAGGUGGAGAGGUGGACAGGCCUGGUAGAGUAGAGGUGGACAGGCCUGGUAGAGUAGAGGUGGACAGGUGGACAGGCCUGGUAGAGUAGAGGUGGAGAGGCCUGGUAGAGUAGAGGUGGACAGGCCUGGUAGAGUAGAGGUGGAGAGGUGGACAGGCCUGGUAGAGUAGAGGUGGACAGGCCUGGUAGAGUAGAGGUGGACAGGUGGACAGGCCUGGUAGAGUAGAGGUGGAGAGGUGGACAGGCCUGGUAGAGUAGAGGUGGAGAGGUGGACAGGCCUGGUAGAGUAGAGGUGGAGAGGUGGACAGGCCUGGUAGAGUAGAGGUGGAGAGGUGGACAGGCCUGGUAGAGUAGAGGUGCAGUGGGUUGUGUUUGGGAGACGUUGUUUUGCCAGUGUGGUUCCCUUUGUCUUUUUCAGUUCCAAUUGGAAUUGGAGAUGUGUAUGUGCUCUCCUCUCAUCCCCCUCUGUGUAAUAUGUAGGCUUAUCAAUAAUAACAUCCACAUCGAUAAGUGGCCCAUGAAAUGUAAUGUACGCAUCAAUAGGAAGGUGUGUGUGUCUUGAGAGAGAGGAGAAAGGAAGAGAGAGGAGGA